RNAcentral lists this ribosomal RNA (468 nucleotides) under uncultured bacterium. RNAcentral describes it as "partial 16S ribosomal RNA". It matches the Rfam family "Bacterial small subunit ribosomal RNA", at positions 28 to 507 of the family's 1533-position model. The record is from RNAcentral.
GACGAACGCUGGCGGCGUGCUUAACACAUGCAAGUCGAACGGAAAGGCCCUGCUUUUGUGGGGUGCUCGAGUGGCGAACGGGUGAGUAACACGUGAGUAACCUGCCCUUGACUUUGGGAUAACUUCAGGAAACUGGGGCUAAUACCGGAUAGGAGCUCCUGCUGCAUGGUGGGGGUUGGAAAGUUUCGGCGGUUGGGGAUGGACUCGCGGCUUAUCAGCUUGUUGGUGGGGUAGUGGCUUACCAAGGCUUUGACGGGUAGCCGGCCUGAGAGGGUGACCGGCCACAUUGGGACUGAGAUACGGCCCAGACUCCUACGGGAGGCAGCAGUGGGAAAUAUUGCACAAUGGGCGGAAGCCUGAUGCAGCAACGCCGCGUGCGGGAUGACGGCCUUCGGGUUGUAAACCGCUUUCGCCUGUGACGAAGCGUGAGUGGCGGUAAUGGGUAAAGAAGCACCGGCUAACUACGUG